UAGGGAAUCUUCCACAAUGGACGCAAGUCUGAUGGAGCAACGCCGCGUGAGUGAAGAAGGUUUUCGGAUCGUAAAGCUCUGUUGUUGGUGAAGAAGGAUAGAGGUAGUAACUGGCCUUUAUUUGACGGUAAUCAACCAGAAAGUCACGGCUAACUACGUUCCAGCAGCCGCGGUAAUACGUAGGUGGCAGGCGUUGUCCGGAUUUAUUGGGCGGAAAGCGAGCGCAGGCGGAAGAAUAAGUCUGAUGUGAAAGCCCACGGCUUAACCGAGGAACUGCAUCGGAAACUGUUGGUCUUGAGUGCAGAAGAGGAGAGUGGAACUCCAUGUGUAGCGGUGAAAUGCGUAGAUAUAUGGAAGAACACCAGUGGCGAAGGCGACUCUCUGGUCUGCAACUGACGCUGAGGCUCGAAAGCAUGGGGAGCGAACAGG
RNAcentral lists this ribosomal RNA (429 nucleotides) under Bacillota bacterium. RNAcentral's name for it is "Firmicutes bacterium partial 16S ribosomal RNA". It matches the Rfam family "Bacterial small subunit ribosomal RNA", at positions 355 to 776 of the family's 1533-position model. Lineage: Bacteria; Bacillati; Bacillota. The record is from RNAcentral.